Molecule: ribosomal RNA, 520 nt
Filed under: uncultured bacterium
Lineage: Bacteria
Description: bacterial SSU rRNA
Rfam family: Bacterial small subunit ribosomal RNA
Source: RNAcentral
AGAGUUUGAUCCUGGCUCAGAUUGAACGCUGGCGGCAUGCUUUACACAUGCAAGUCGAACGGCAGCGCGGGGCAACCUGGCGGCGAGUGGCGAACGGGUGAGUAAUACAUCGGAACGUACCCAGAAGUGGGGGAUAACGUAGCGAAAGUUACGCUAAUACCGCAUACGUUCUACGGAAGAAAGUGGGGGACCUUCGGRCCUCAUGCUUUUGGAGCGGCCGAUGUCUGAUUAGCUAGUUGGUGAGGUAAAGGCUCACCAAGGCGACGAUCAGUAGCUGGUCUGAGAGGACGACCAGCCACACUGGGACUGAGACACGGCCCAGACUCCUACGGGAGGCAGCAGUGGGGAAUUUUGGACAAUGGGCGCAAGCCUGAUCCAGCAAUGCCGCGUGAGUGAAGAAGGCCUUCGGGUUGUAAAGCUCUUUUGUCAGGGAAGAAACGGCUGGGGWUAAUACCUCUGGCUAAUGACGGUACCUGAAGAAUAAGCACCGGCUAACUACGUGCCAGCAGCCGCGGUAAUA